Molecule: ribosomal RNA, 774 nt
Filed under: uncultured Neocallimastigales
Lineage: Eukaryota; Fungi; Neocallimastigomycota; Neocallimastigomycetes; Neocallimastigales
Description: partial large subunit ribosomal RNA
Rfam family: Eukaryotic large subunit ribosomal RNA
Source: RNAcentral
UACGACUACAUAUCAGGCAUAUCAAUAAGCGGAGGAAAAGAAACUAACAAGGAUUCCCUUAGUAACGGCGAGUGAAGCGGGAAGAGCUCAAAUUUGAAAUCUUCAAGGUUUUACCUUGACGAAUUGUAGUUUAAAGAAGUGUUUUCUGUUGAAGUUUUGGUAAAAGUUCUUUGGAAUAGGACAUCAUAGAGGGUGAGAAUCCCGUAUUUGACCAUUAUUUUCAGCUGUGUGAUACACUUUCAAAGAGUCGGAUUGUUUGGGAAUGCAGUCCAAAAUGGGUGGUAAAUUUCAUCUAAAGCUAAAUAUUGGCGAGAGACCGAUAGCGAACAAGUACCGUGAGGGAAAGAUGAAAAGAACUUUGAAAAGAGAGUUAAACAGUACGUGAAAUUGUCAAAAGGGAAGCGUUUGACACCAGUGUUGUUUUUCCGAAAAUCAAUUAAAAAUUGAUUCAUGCCAGGUUGUAUUGACCUUAUCAGCUUGCAAUUUGGUUUUGGGUCUCUCUUUGAUGCACUUUUCGGUUAACAAGUCAACAUCAAUUUCCUUUGCUGUAAAAAGGUAGGAGGAAGGUGGCUUCAAUUUCGGUUGAAGUGUUUAUAGCCUUUUAUCUCUGCAGUCGGGGAGAUUGAGGUCUGCAGCGUAGAUCCUUCGGGGCUAGAUACAUUUAUGCUAAGUUAUAGCUUUUCAUAGACAACUUGUUGACUAUGUUUAGUCAUGUAGCUUACUCGUAAGUGCUAUUUUACCUACGCUUAGGAUGUUGAGCGCAUGUCUCUCUCU